UACGAAGGGGGCGAGCGUUGUUCGGAUUUACUGGGCGUAAAGGGCGCGUAGGCGGCCUUGUCAGUCAGGCGUGAAAGCCCCGGGCUCAACCUGGGAACGGCGCUUGGGACGGCGAGGCUGGAGUUCGGGAGAGGGGGGUGGAAUUCCACGUGUAGCAGUGAAAUGCGUAGAGAUGUGGAGGGACACCGAUGGCGAAGGCGGCAUCCUGGACCGGUAUUGACGCUGAGGCGCGAAAGCCAGGGGAGCAAACGGG
Molecule: ribosomal RNA, 253 nt
Filed under: uncultured bacterium
Lineage: Bacteria
Description: partial 16S ribosomal RNA
Rfam family: Bacterial small subunit ribosomal RNA
Source: RNAcentral